UCCGUGUUAACCACGGCAGUCUCUUUAGAGAGCCCAACUGAAUGCUGGCAACUAAAGACAAGGGUUGCGCUCGUUGCGGGACUUAACCCAACAUGUCACCACACGAGCUGACGACAGCCAUGCAGCACCUGUCACUUUGUCGUAUUGCUACGAAAGCCGUAUCUCUACGGAUGUCAAAGGAUGUCAAACCCAGGUAAGGUUCUUCGCGUUGCUUCGAAUUAAACCACAUGAUCCACCGCUUGUGCGGGCCCCCGUCAAUUCCUUUGAGUUUUAGUCUUGCGACCGUACUUCCCAGGCGGGGUACUUAGUGCGUUAGCGCCGGUUCGGCGGGGGUCAAGACCCACCAAACCUAGUACCCAUCGUUUACGGCGUGGACUAC
This 379-nucleotide unclassified non-coding RNA is filed under the name uncultured Oligoflexales bacterium. Its description in RNAcentral is "contains 16S-23S intergenic spacer region". Lineage: Bacteria; Pseudomonadati; Bdellovibrionota; Oligoflexia; Oligoflexales. The record is from RNAcentral.